ACUGCAUCUCUUGAGUAUGGUUGAGGUAGGCGGAAUGUGUUGUGUAGCGGUGAAAUGCAUAGAUAUGACACAGAACGCCGACUGCGAAGGCAGCUUACUAAGCCAUUACUGACGCUGAGGCACGAAAGCGUGGGGAGCGAACAGGAUUAGAUACCCUGGUGGUCCACGCCGUAAACGAUGUUCACUCGCUGUUUGCGAUACACAGCAAGCGGCUAAGCGAAAGCAUUAAGUGAACCACCUGGGGAGUACGAUCGCAAGGUUGAAACUCAAAGGAAGUGACGGGGGCCCGCACAAGCGGAGGAACAUGUGGUUUAAUUCGAUGAUACGCGAGGAACCUUACCUGGGCUUAAAUGUAGAUUGCAUAGAGUAGAAAUAUUCUUUUCCUUCGGGACUAUUUACAAGGUGCUGCAUGGUUGUCGUCAGCUCGUGCCGUGAGGUGUCGGGUUAAGUCCCAUAACGAGCGCAACCCCUAUCGUUAGUUGCCAGCGGAUAAUGCCGGGGACUCUAGCGAGACAGCCACCGUAAGGUGAGAGGAAGGUGGGGAUGACGUCAAAUCAGCACGGCCCUUAUGUCCAGGGCUACACACGUGUUACAAUGGCCGAUACAAAGGGCAGCUACCAGGUGACUGGAUGCUAAUCUCUAAAGUCGGUCCCAGUUCGGAUUGGAGUCUGCAACCCGACUCCAUGAAGUUGGAUUCGCUAGUAAUCGGAUAUCAGCAAUGAUCCGGUGAAUACGUUCCCGGGCCUUGUACACACCGCCCGUCAAACCAUGGAAGCUGGGGGUACCUGAAGUCUGUGACCGUAAGGAGCGGCCUAGGGUAAAACUAGUAACUAGGGUUAAGUCGUAACAAGGUAACC
RNAcentral lists this ribosomal RNA (857 nucleotides) under uncultured Draconibacterium sp. RNAcentral describes it as "bacterial SSU rRNA". It matches the Rfam family "Bacterial small subunit ribosomal RNA", at positions 632 to 1501 of the family's 1533-position model. Lineage: Bacteria; Pseudomonadati; Bacteroidota; Bacteroidia; Marinilabiliales; Prolixibacteraceae. The record is from RNAcentral.